This 426-nucleotide ribosomal RNA is filed under the name uncultured prokaryote. RNAcentral's name for it is "partial 16S ribosomal RNA". The record is from RNAcentral.
CCCUAUGGGGUGCACGGGAUCAUUGUCGAAGAACCUGACCGGGAUGACGACUAUUACAAGAGGCUUGCGGCGGUCUUCCUGAGGCCCGAGGGCAUACCGAAGGAACUGCACGAGGCGCUGUACUAUAUCAAGGGGCUUGACAGCGACAACGGGUUGAACCGGAUCGCCCAGGCGGUGAAAGCGGGAAAGCUGGCCAUCGAUAUGUCGGAAGACUCGUCCACGGCGGAUAAGUCGCUGCAGGCGUGGCUGCAGGAUGCGGAGCGGGUGCGGAACCUUCACAUCGAGGUCGGGCUGGACGCGGGCAAGUCGUUCACGCAUUUCAAACCCCUGCGCGGGCCGGUGCCGCCGAUGGCGGACUUCCGAGCGGCGAAGGGUCCGUUCGAGAAAGAGCUGGCGGCAGUCUUCAAGGAACACGGGCGGGGGGGC